AAAGGAUAGAGCCCGGCUUGCCGGUGAUCUGCCUACCUUGCAUAACAUACCUUUGUUGCUUUGGCGGGGCGCCUCUCGGCCAGCGGCUCCGGCUGCUGCGUCCCCGCCAGAGAACCACAACUCUUGUUUUUAGUGAUGUCUGAGUACUAUAUAAUAGUUA
RNAcentral lists this unclassified non-coding RNA (160 nucleotides) under uncultured Hypocreales. RNAcentral describes it as "sequence contains ITS1". Lineage: Eukaryota; Fungi; Ascomycota; Sordariomycetes; Hypocreales. The record is from RNAcentral.